CUACGGGAGGCUCCAGUGGGGAAUAUUGCACAAUGGGGGAAACCCUGAUGCAGCAACGCCGCGUGGAGGAUGACACUUUUCGGAGCGUAAACUCCUUUUAUAUACCAAGAUAAUGACGGUAGUAUAUGAAUAAGCACCGGCUAACUCCGUGCCAGCAGCCGCGGUAAUACGGGGGGUGCAAGCGUUACUCGGAAUCACUGGGCGUAAAGGAUGCGUAGGCGGCCUAGCAAGUCAGGUGUGAAAUCCUAUGGCUUAACCAUAGAACUGCACUUGAAACUGCUAGACUAGAGUUCAGAAGGGGAAGGUGGAAUUAGUGGUGUAGGGGUAAAAUCCGUAGAGAUCAGAAGGAAUACCGAUUGCGAAGGCGAUCUACUAGAACAUUAUUGACGCUGAGACGCGAAAGCGUGGGGAGCAAACAGGAUUAGAUACCCGAGUAGUC
RNAcentral lists this ribosomal RNA (439 nucleotides) under uncultured bacterium. RNAcentral describes it as "partial 16S ribosomal RNA". It matches the Rfam family "Bacterial small subunit ribosomal RNA", at positions 339 to 795 of the family's 1533-position model. The record is from RNAcentral.